AUAUUGGUGGCUCAGUGGUAGAAUUCUCACCUUCCAUGUGGGAGACCUGGGUUCAAUGCUCAGCCAGUUCA
This 71-nucleotide transfer RNA is filed under the name Loxodonta africana (African savanna elephant). It matches the Rfam family "tRNA". Rfam says of the family: Transfer RNA (tRNA) molecules are approximately 80 nucleotides in length. Their secondary structure includes four short double-helical elements and three loops (D, anti-codon, and T loops). The record is from Rfam by way of RNAcentral. Lineage: Eukaryota; Metazoa; Chordata; Mammalia; Proboscidea; Elephantidae.